GAGUGAACAGGGAAGAGCCCAGCACCGAAGUCUGUGGCUGAUUGGCCAUUAGACAAUGUGGUGUUUAGGUCGUUCCGCAGAGGUACUGCUCCACCCUAAGUCCAGCAAUGAGUACGGUGGUACGGACAUGGCCCACAGAGGGUGAAAGGCCCGUGGGGGUGGAGAUCCGUUGCGACAGUGCCUCUCUGGGUAGACCUUUGAGUCGGGUUGUUUGUGAAUGCAGCCCAAAGUGGGUGGUAAACUCCAUCCAAGGCUAAAUACUGGCACGAGUCCGAUAGCGAACAAGUACCGUGAGGGAAAGUUGAAAAGUACUUUGAAGAGAGAGUAAACAGUGCGUGAAACCGCUCAGAGGUAAACGGGUGGAGUUGAACUGCAAGCACUGAGAAUUCAAACGGUGAGUGUGGCUUGAGCUUGGUUAAAUUGGUUGAACCCGGAAGUCUGCGUAGUAGCAGGCCUGUGUCUCUGGCACAGGUGCGCGAUGCACUUAUCAAGUGUUGUGCGCUUUUGGUGUUCGUCGGACCAACUUGCCGGUGCACUUUCUCAGUGUGGUCACCACGACCGGCGCUGCCGUCUGGCUGCUGUGGUUAAACCGGCCUUGCAUUGUCCUUGUGGCUUUGUUUGGUCGGGAUGGCAGGUAACUCGUUGGCUUGUCUGCAGUUUACUGCAGGCGUUAGGCUUUCGAGUGUAAUGAGCUGACCGCAGUGGCUCUGUACGGUGCGUCGGAGACGGCGGCUUGAGGUGUGUGCAUGCGUGCCUGUCUUGUUGGCGGGUCUGGGUUUGGUUGUUUUGUUGCCUGUUCAAGCAGGCCUGAUGAUAGCCCGGAUUCGUUUGACUGGCGGUUGCGUGUGUGACACAGUUGCUAGAGCCAAUAGUCUGUGGUGUAGUGGUAGACUAUCCACCUGACCCGUCUUGAAACACGGACCAAGGAGAGUAACAUGUGCGCGAGUCAUUGGGCGUUACGAAACCCAAAGGCGCAGUGAAAGUAAAGGUCUGGCUUGUUCAGACUGAGGUGAGAUCCUGUCGUUUCUCACGCGCGGUACUACCAAGCACCGAGCGGCAGGCGCAUCACCGGCCCGUCCCAUGACAAUUGUUUUCGGACGUCAUUCAGUCGGGGCGGAGCAUGAGCGUACAUGUUGAGACCCGAAAGAUGGUGAACUAUGCUUGUGCAGGUUGAAGCCAGAGGAAACUCUG
RNAcentral lists this ribosomal RNA (1191 nucleotides) under Microphalloidea sp. EE-2016a. Its description in RNAcentral is "LSU rRNA". It matches the Rfam family "Eukaryotic large subunit ribosomal RNA", at positions 91 to 866 of the family's 3401-position model. The record is from RNAcentral. Lineage: Eukaryota; Metazoa; Platyhelminthes; Trematoda; Plagiorchiida.